GCAACGCGCCACUUUUGGGAUCGGGUUAGGGAGCAGGGAGGAGAGGAGCUCGGGGCGCAGGGGAAGAAGCACGAGCGGUGGUGGUGGCACAGCAGAGGAGGGGAAGCGCAAAGAAGAGGAGGGCGCAUCCUAGGUACCGAGGUACCGCCGACGACCGAGCUCCGUCCCCUCGCCGGCUACGCCCCAGCCAACCUAGCUCCGCCCCUCGCCGCCUACGCCGCAGCCGCAGCCGCCGCCACCGUCCUCUUCUCUCCGCCACCGCCGCAGCUGGACGUUUCUCCGCUUUCCUCGUCACCACCGCCGCAGCUCGACGCUUCUCCGCGGCGAGUCCGCGCUCUGGUACCUCCGCCCUCACGGACGAAGCCCGGGGCUAGAGCCUCCCAUGCUCCGUCCCUUCCCGCUGUAACGGCCGCAGUGUCGCGCACCUCGGACUCGGGGACUACUACCCGCUGCGGUUCCGGGGCGCUGGCGCUGUCCCUCGAGGAGUAGGCGGCAGAGGCCGCCGUCGCCGCCGCCGAGCCAGGGGGCGCGGCUCCUGCUGCUGCUGAACCUGUCCCAUGAACGGUACGACUGUCUUUUAAGUCUGGCCACGGCUCUAAAGAACAGCGCUCCUUUAGUGCCCUCCUACUCUACUUGGGCCUGCUCCAGCGACGUCAGUAACCGCGGAGGAGGCGGCGCCCUCCGGUUCCCACUCUCCUUCCUCCGCAGCAGUCGAGGUCUUCCUGGCCGUCGGGAGGAGCAGUUGCCGUAUACGGCUCCAGCGACGACCACGGCGACUGAGGCGUGGUCGGAGGAAGUAGAGGGUUGGUUCCGGUCGAGUUGGGGAGUUCUUCUCGUCCCUACGAGAGAAAGAUGUGGGUCGCAGGUGUGUUGGUCUAGCUGUUCCCAAACCUACCGGACUACUCUCGUCGGGUCAUCAACAUGGAGACGUUGAAGCCGUUACAUAUGUCAGUAGUCAUGGUAGAGAAAUGGCGUGAAAAAUGUAAAGUAAAAAAACUCAACAAACUAAGUAAAAGAAAAGGUUGACUUAGUUGAGAGCUCCACCUGCGUAUCGAGAGAUAUUCUUCUAGUUAGUAGCUACUGAAUGACUAAAUGUUCCUCUUUUGUCUAACCCCCCUAUUCUCCGAUAACCACAAAUAAGGGGGAGGCGAGGGGACGCGGCGAGGGAGAGGAGGCUGGUACCCGUCGUCGUCAGUCUCUUGGUCCCCGUCGACCAAAGUUGCCCUUCGAUGCAUGAAUAUACGGGGGUGGUUAAAGUUGCCUCUUUAUACUGGUCGCUGUUGAUGAUUAUAGUCCACCUAGGUUCCAAUAUACUAAACAUGUACCGCCACAAUGACUUGUCUUCCUCCUUAGUGGUUGUCGGGAAGACAUCAAGGUUCCUUCACGAGUUGGAUCUGCAACAACCGGCUUCCUCCCCGCCUCGUCCACGGUCAGUCCAUCCGCCGAGUUACCCACCCUCUACCGUCGACGGCUAGAGUGUACCGAGGACGCGGGGUGAUGGGAGGGGAGGGGCCGAUUCAUCCUCCAAGCUCCCGUCGCUGAUUCCUUCCUCGUGUAGCCGCUACUCCCGAUCGUUGUCGUUCUGCGUUGACAGUCCACGACAGCUAUACGGUGGUGCAGCCGGGGAAGUGCGCGCUGGCGGCCCCGAGUCUAGCCGCUCUGGGCACGGUUACGUACUCUCAGGUACCAUAGUAUGCUAAACUUCAACUUUUUAAGUACGAUACACACUAUGCCUUUUCAGUAACGGAAGAAACGACCUUGUAAAGGAUUCUACUAGAUUCCACCUCGUCGAUACUUAUAGGAGCGACUAGAUACCUAGAUAGUAACAUUCUCAGUUACUAUAUACCACUCGACGGAGUGUGGUAGUAAACCAGAAACAUCGUAAACUCAACCGUUUAAACAACCUAAGUACGCUAAUCCGUACCAUUCACGAGUCUCUGGGUAUCGAGAUAUUAACAAACGAAGGUUUUCAAGACUUAGAAAAGACGCGGACCAGGAGAGUAACCACUCUCAUCGGUACAUUUAGUUAGACGAUACCCUUUACCCUCAAACGUUUGAUGGCCUCAGAUUAACGACUCCCUGCUCCAAGCAUUGACUCCCAGUACACGUCUCGACCUCCUUCUUCAACGCUCCGAACCUUGAGAGGAACACUUCCCGAGUCCCUGUCGUCACUCCUGUUAGGGAGAAAUCAACAUUAACACUAUGAGGACUACACGUUCAUUAGUGAGGACACUAUGAGGAAUACGAUUUUACAACCAACCUCCGCGCCCCAGGUCCUUCCGAAAACCCACCCGGCCCCCACAACCUCCGACGACAGGCCUGAGGGCGUUGGGGUGGGGGGGAGGAUAAACAGAGCCCAAACGGCCCUUUUCAUGCGGGCCUGGUGAGCCGCCUGGCUAUGUUAAGGUAAAACCUACCGUUUGGCGCAAGCCUGGUGCACCAGGUCUGUUAACGCCCACCAAAGUCCCAGACGCAACCUCUACAGGAGUGAAACAACAGAACGAGUAGUAGACUAAGCCGGCAUUUAAACAAGGUAGAGUAUACCGACCGGUCCUUUUCUGACAAGCGUUCCUUUUGCCACUUUUAGUGUACUUUUUAUACAAAACUUCAAGUUUAUUAAGAAGUUUUUAAUUUUACGCAUUUUCUUUAACAGAAGGUAUGCUGUUUAUUUUAAAGUUUGAGUUUAUGUUUAAUUAGUGGAGACAUUUCCUCGACCUCAUGGGCAGAGGACCCUCCGAAGUGCCCGUUCUCACCGGGGGCACGGCAGUUAAAAAUCCACCGCACGGCACUCCCGGAGAGCCCCGGAGAAGCACAGCAGGCUAGAAAGAUCUGUCUCAUGUAGGCCUGCCGGGCAGAGGUGCCAUAUACUGCCCACCUGGCGUACGUGCGAACCGGUGUCAGUAUACCACAGAAAGCAGCGGCUCUGUGACAUCGAACGAGCAGUCUUAUAUGAAUCAUAAGGUAAAUGUCUUGAACGCGACUUGUACACGACGUGCCGGUGCUCGGCUGCUGCUUAGCUGACCAGCUCGGAUAUAUAUAUCCGAUCGAUCUCGCGUGUUGUGUUGAUGUUUCUUGUGGCCUAACUUCCAUCACACUUGGUCACUCUCUACCGAGCCGCCCAAUGACCGAAUGGGGCCAGCCGCACGAAGUAGAGAAACGAGUAUCAUGAUGAUGCUGUCCAGUGACGGCGCCUCUGUCACUUUCACUCGUGGUGCGGCCAUAAGGGAAGUUAGGGCACCCCCGUUCUCUUGCUACUAAAGCUCCACGACCACGCACACCUCCGCGGCGGCCUCCGUUCGUCCGCUAGGGGGCAGCUGGAUCACCGGCACGACCUAUAGUCGUCGUCGUACUUAUGAGCCCGCCGCGGUAGGCUACUCAGUAGCUCCGACCUAGACGAGUUUGCUCGCUACUUCAAGUAGUAGCCCUUCGAGCUGUCGCCUCUGGCGGAUCGAUAGCACCGCAAGUUGUUGGUUUAGCAGCUUCUCAUACCGUGGUCCAAUGACCUGUACAGCAGGCCACCGGCCUCUCUACAUUCUUCCGCCCAGCUACUCGACUGCCGCGCGCCGAGGUGCCGCAAGGCCGGCCCGGACACAUUCCGCCACUUCUAGGAGCUGCUCUCUUCACUGCCUUCCUUGGCACGGCCGAAGUAGAACAAGGACAGCCUACCUUUUCUGUUCUCUCCUUAGUUCACCUCGUACCUUCAGCCCUAGUCGCGGCGCGAGGCCUUCAUGGGGCAGGUAUGGAAGCCGAAGUCGCCCAGAGUGUUUGGGUUGCGCGACGAGAAGUAGCGGGUCCUCAGCGCCCCUUGGAUGAGGAAGUAGUUGCUCUUGGACCGGUCGUAGUGGUCGCGGAAGCGGCAGACGGACCCGCCCGAGUUCUCGCAGCAGCGGCAGCUGCUCGCGUAGUCGGAACACCGGGGCUUCGUACCGCCCCACGUCGAGUUCUCGUAGCUGAGGCCACCCAUGCCCUCGGUGUAGAGGCCUCUGCCCCGCAGCCCGCUCUAGCACUAGCCGCGCUACAUGCGGCCGCUCCACUUCUUGAAGUAGCAGGCGGACGUGCACGGCAGCCACCUAGACCUGUAGCCGUUACCGUUUCAACGGCAGAGUUUCGUGGUCGAGGACGAGUGCCGGUGUGCGGUGAACGUACGACAGUUACCCCAACCCCUCUUGCCGCCGUCGCGUAGUGACAGUCAGGUUUCCGGGCCUCGUGACCGGCACGUCGUCGUUCAGCAACGUAGGCGGAACCAUCACUUGGUGUAGCAGGCCAAGUCCAACCACCUCUACCACCGGUUCAAGCAGGUCCCGGACCUGUUCCAGCAGCGGUGGUAACUAGCGCAUUCCGGCUGCUCAACGUCCCCUCCACCCUCCUUAAGUUCCUUCGCGUGUUCAAAACCCCGCCGCAACUCGACACCGCAAAGCUCCGGCUGUAGUUUCACUACCACUGGCCGGACGACGUACCGCCGCCGGCUAGGCCCCACCGUAUGGAGAUGAGUACCCACAGGUCGAUGGUCUACGUCGCCCGCUGCUGGUACCCGAGGUGCCUCUUCCAGCGGCGGCUCAAGGAGUGCGCCCUCUACCCAAAGUACGACUUGCUCCGCGUGUUUUGAGGCCAAACCGAACACCUUCUUCUCCUGGGCAAACAGGAAGCGUCGCUGUGGUGACUGCUCUGGCUUCGUGGCGCACCGACGCCGUCCGCGCAGGUACCGCAGGUUGUACUGCACUAGCUGGGCGCCGAUGUCUACACCAGGUUCGACUUCGCGCUCCACGGCGAGUACAAGGCCGUCAGCCUUCUUUGGCUCAGGGCGGUAGAGUGGCGGCAGAAGGCGCUCCGCAGGGAGCUCUGGUAGUUGGCUCGUUACGUGGUGCUGUAUAUAGACCGGCACCACGUGCUGGCGUCGGACUCUGCUACGAUGAGGCCGUUGCGCAGCCUCGUCGCGCACCUUACGUGCAGUUGGUGGCUGGGUACGAUCGAGUUCGUGGCUGCACAAAAGUGAAACUUAAACGUAAAGGAAAAAAGAAAAGAAGUAAACGUUAACAUGAAACGGCACAGAAAUAAGAACUCCUGGGGAGGAGGAUGGUCAAUGACCACCUCAACACCUCUCGGCUUAUAAAAAGAAAAACUCAGUUAAUGUGGUGAUCAGGUAUUUGUACUGCUCUUUUUAAUAAAAUCACGAUUUUGAACACCGUAUGUCCCUUGCCCACAAUCUUGAACCGAGCCUGCUACGUUUAACACAAACCUAUACUUUUGUUACA
This 5252-nucleotide ribosomal RNA is filed under the name Triticum aestivum (bread wheat). Its description in RNAcentral is "partial small subunit ribosomal RNA". Lineage: Eukaryota; Viridiplantae; Streptophyta; Magnoliopsida; Poales; Poaceae. The record is from RNAcentral.